RNAcentral lists this ribosomal RNA (723 nucleotides) under Triticum aestivum (bread wheat). RNAcentral's name for it is "partial small subunit ribosomal RNA". The record is from RNAcentral. Lineage: Eukaryota; Viridiplantae; Streptophyta; Magnoliopsida; Poales; Poaceae.
AUGGAAAGCACCACCACAGCAGCUAGGAAUCAGCAGGGGCCGCCGCCGGCCGCCGCCUUGAUGCAUCCUCCGCCUCAAAGCAGCGUCCGGUGCGACGCGCUCGUGGUGCUUCACCGGCAUCCCGACGCGACGUGCUCCGCUCGCAGUGCUGCAGUAAAGUGCACGGGGCUGCAAUGGAGCACUACGGGAGGCUGCAAUGGAGCGACGCGCGGGGUCGUUGAGCUCCGACGGGGUUGCAAUGAAGCACGCCGGAGCUGCAAUGAAGCGCGCAUGGGGUCGUUGAAGCUCGUCAGGGGUUGCAAUGGAGCUCCGGCGUCAUGGCCGCUGCAUCGCAGCUCUGGCGGUCGACGACCGCUGCACUUCAGCUCCGGCGGCGUCGGCGACCACUGCAUCGCAGCUCCGGCGGUCGACGACCGCUGCACUGUAGCUCCGGUGGCGUCGGCGACCGCUGCAUCGCAGCUCCGGCGGUCGACGACCGCUGCACUGCAGCUCCGGCGGCGUCUACAACAGCUGCAUCGCAGCUCCGGCGGCAUCGGUGUCCGCUUCAUCGUAGCUCCGACGGCUGCUGCAUCGCAACUCCGGCGCCGACAAGGCCGCUGCUGCCGUGCGGGGCAUGCUUGGAGCGGACAGUGGGCGUUGUACCUGCGGAGAAGUGCAAUCCGCGGGAGACCAAGCGAACGGCUACGAUGUUCACAAUCAGACAGUUGUCAAGGCGGCGGAUAA